CGGGGACACACUCCAGGGUAACACCACGGAGAAGGCUGUUGUGCCAGCUCUCAGGUGGAGACCAGGGGGUUGAACCCAGACCCUCGCAUAUUGUAACAUGUGCGCUUAACCAAGUGUGCCCUGAGAACUUGUUUUAAUGCAGCACCAAGAAAUGAACCCAGGACCCAGUAUAUGGGAGAUAAGACACAGAAGAAAAGUGAAAGCCUGAACUCUACAAGCAGCAGUGGCCCAGGGUACGUGCAGUAUCUCUUAACAGUAAGCUGGGACGGUCCACCUUCUUUAUGGUUUUGAUGCAAACACACUCCAGGGUCCUGGCUUUGUGGAACUGCUUCAGGACCCCCAAGGAACUGCUUCUUGAAGGAUCCAGUUGUUUUAUUGCCACCCGGGUUAUCACCAGGGCUCAGUGCAGGCACUACAAAUCCACCACUGCUGAUGGCCUUUUUUUUUUUUUUUAGUUUAAUAAAUAAAUAACUGGAUGGCCCAACCCCCACUUCCCCACUUCGUUUUUACUUAAUUUAUUUAUUCCCUUUUGUUGCCCUUGCUGUUUUUUAUUGUUCAAGUUUCUGGUCCCCACUUGCAGGAGGGAAGCUUCAAGAGCUGUGCAGCAGGGCUGCAGGCAUCUCUAUCACCCCUGUCCUCAAAUUCUGUCUCUAUUCAAAAUAAACAAAAAUAUAUUAAGAAGAUUAAAAAACACCAUUUUGUUACAUGAGUGUAAUCUGACUGUAUGCUUGUACGUUGUGUGUCCUCAUCAUAUGUUAUGUUUAUGGCACUUCUACCUUCAGAUGGUAUUACUCAAAAUAUAAACAUUACUCCUAGGUUCUGGCUCUCCCCUCACUGAGUGAAGCCCAUACUGACUGGAGUAUUACAUUUUUCCUUUUUUAAAAAAAAACAUUU
RNA transcript from Erinaceus europaeus (western European hedgehog), 894 nucleotides. It is a transcript of the gene named transmembrane protein 91, with no coding region annotated. NCBI's taxonomy places the organism in Eukaryota, Metazoa, Chordata, Mammalia, Eulipotyphla, Erinaceidae. The record is from RefSeq and is a predicted model, not a curated record. The transcript has 4 exons.